This 324-nucleotide ribosomal RNA is filed under the name uncultured Bacteroidota bacterium. Its description in RNAcentral is "bacterial SSU rRNA". It matches the Rfam family "Bacterial small subunit ribosomal RNA", at positions 28 to 348 of the family's 1533-position model. Lineage: Bacteria; Pseudomonadati; Bacteroidota. The record is from RNAcentral.
GAUGAACGCUAGCGGCAGGCUUAAUACAUGCAAGUCGAGGGGCAGCGCGGGUAGCAAUACCUGGCGGCGACCGGCGCACGGGUGCGUAACACGUAUGUAACCUACCUUAAACUGAGGGAUAGCCCCUCGAAAGAGGGAUUAAUACCUCAUAACACUGCGGAGAGGCAUCUUUUUGCAGUUAAAGUUCCGACGGUUUAAGAUGGGCAUGCGCGACAUUAGCUAGUUGGUGAGGUAACGGCUCACCAAGGCUGUGAUGUCUAGGGGGUUCUGAGAGGAAAAUCCCCCACACUGGUACUGAGACACGGACCAGACUCCUACGGGAGG